This is a long non-coding RNA of Austrofundulus limnaeus, 493 nucleotides long. RefSeq lists it as uncharacterized. The transcript has 3 exons. NCBI's taxonomy places the organism in Eukaryota, Metazoa, Chordata, Actinopteri, Cyprinodontiformes, Rivulidae. The record is from RefSeq and is a predicted model, not a curated record.
GAGAGAGAGAGAGAGAGAGAGAGAGAGAUCAGCGGGGAAGGAGACUUGUCUGUGCGCGGAGCGGAGAGCAGCGCUGUGCGUCUUUACGCUCACCGGUCCGAGGGACUCUGCUGCGCUUAGAGAAGAGGAAUUUAAGGAAGCGAGUCUGCUCCGCGCAUGUUGGAAGCGGAGAGGAGAGGAGAGGAGGGCUGGAUGCCUGUGGGUUUGCGAAGCCACAAGAAGAGCAAGACGCAGCCAAGGAUUACAUCCAGCCCGGACACCAGCUAAAGGACUAACGGGACGCACGGUGGAGGAGGGAGUACUUUUUUUAAUUAUUAAUAUUAUUAUUGUUUCUUUCGUCUGAGAGGAGAUGGCACAGCGCGCGCCGGAUAGAGGAGAGCCGGAGAGAGGGCGCAGGAGCUGAGUGACAGGAUGCCAGAGACCUGAGCCCCCCUCACUCUCAUCCACACACACUUGUUUUACUUUGACUGAACUGGGAGGAAAGCUAUUAAGC